AGUGAACGCUGGCGGUAGGCCUAACACAUGCAAGUCGAACGGCAGCACAGUAAGAGCUUGCUCUUACGGGUGGCGAGUGGCGGACGGGUGAGGAAUACAUCGGAAUCUACUUUUUCGUGGGGGAUAGCGUAGGGAAACUUACGCUAAUACCGCAUACGACCUACGGGAGAAAGCAGGGGAUCUUCGGACCUUGCGCGAUUGAAUGAGCCGAUGUCGGAUUAGCUAGUUGGCGGGGUAAAGGCCCACCAAGGCGACGAUCCGUAGCUGGUCUGAGAGGAUGAUCAGCCACACUGGAACUGAGACACGGUCCAGACUCCUACGGGAGGCAGCAGUGGGGAAUAUUGGACAAUGGGCGCAAGCCUGAUCCAGCCAUACCGCGUGGGUGAAGAAGGCCUUCGGGUUGUAAAGCCCUUUUGUUGGGAAAGAAAAGCAGCAGGUUAAUACCCCGCUGUUCUGACGGUACCCAAAGAAUAAGCACCGGCUAACUUCGUG
Molecule: ribosomal RNA, 492 nt
Filed under: uncultured bacterium
Lineage: Bacteria
Description: partial 16S ribosomal RNA
Rfam family: Bacterial small subunit ribosomal RNA
Source: RNAcentral